Molecule: ribosomal RNA, 879 nt
Filed under: Pseudogymnoascus sp.
Lineage: Eukaryota; Fungi; Ascomycota; Leotiomycetes; Thelebolales; Thelebolaceae
Description: partial large subunit ribosomal RNA
Rfam family: Eukaryotic large subunit ribosomal RNA
Source: RNAcentral
AUCCGAGGAAGAAACAACAGGGAUUACCUCAGUAACGGCGAGUGAAGCGGUAACAGCUCAAAUUUGAAAUCUGGCCUCACGGUCCGAGUUGUAAUUUGUAGAGGAUGCUUCGAGCAUGGUCUGGCCUAAGUUCCUUGGAACAGGACGUCAUAGAGGGUGAGAAUCCCGUAUGCGGCCAGGUGCCUACGCUCAUGUGAAGCUCCUUCGACGAGUCGAGUUGUUUGGGAAUGCAGCUCAAAAUGGGUGGUAAAUUUCAUCUAAAGCUAAAUAUUGGCCAGAGACCGAUAGCGCACAAGUAGAGUGAUCGAAAGAUGAAAAGCACUUUGGAAAGAGAGUUAAACAGUACGUGAAAUUGUUGAAAGGGAAGCGCUUGCAACCAGACUUGCGCGCGGCUGAUCAUCCGGUGUUCUCACCGGUGCACUCGGCCGUGCUCAGGCCAGCAUCGGUUUUGGCGGCUGGAUAAAGGCCCUAGGAAUGUGGCUCCUCUCGGGGAGUGUUAUAGCCUAGGGUGCAAUGCAGCCUGCUGGGACCGAGGACCGCGCUUCGGCUAGGAUGCUGGCGUAAUGGUUGUAAGCGGCCCGUCUUGAAACACGGACCAAGGAGUCUAACAUCUAUGCGAGUGUUUGGGUGUCAAACCCAUACGCGUAAUGAAAGUGAACGGAGGUGAGAACCCUUAAGGGUGCAUCAUCGACCGAUCCUGAUGUCUUCGGAAGGAUUUGAGUAAGAGCAUAGCUGUUGGGACCCGAAAGAUGGUGAACUAUGCCUGAAUAGGGUGAAGCCAGAGGAAACUCUGGUGGAGGCUCGCAGCGGUUCUGACGUGCAAAUCGAUCGUCAAAUUUGGGUAUAGGGGCGAAAGACUAAUCGAACCAUCAGAUGUCC